This 395-nucleotide unclassified non-coding RNA is filed under the name soil metagenome. RNAcentral describes it as "partial contains 5.8S ribosomal RNA, internal transcribed spacer 2, and large subunit ribosomal RNA". The stretch from base 1 to 120 matches the Rfam family "5.8S ribosomal RNA", at positions 35 to 154 of the family's 154-position model. The record is from RNAcentral.
GAUGAAGAACGUAGCGAAAUGCGAUAAGUAAUGUGAAUUGCAGAAUUCAGUGAAUCAUCGAAUCUUUGAACGCACCUUGCGCCUUUUGGUAUUCCGAAAGGCACACCUGUUUGAGCGUCAUGAAUACCUCAAUCUCCAUCUUUUCUUCGGAUUGAUGGGUGACUUGGAUGUUGAGCCCUGCUGGUAUGCUAUAUCAGCUGGCUUUAAACUUAUUAGCCGGCUCUGUACUGGAUCGGUUUGACUCGACGUGAUAAUAUUAUCGUUGAGGAUGCAUGUCUCAUGCAGCCGGAAAGUAUCAAAGCAGCUUCUAGCGUGCCUUUAGUGCACUUUUACAUUUUAGACCUCAGAUCAGGUGGGACUACCCGCUGAACUUAAGCAUAUCAAUAAGCGGAGGA